This 399-nucleotide ribosomal RNA is filed under the name Triticum aestivum (bread wheat). RNAcentral's name for it is "partial small subunit ribosomal RNA". The record is from RNAcentral. Lineage: Eukaryota; Viridiplantae; Streptophyta; Magnoliopsida; Poales; Poaceae.
UAUCAUAUUAUCACUAUGAAGAAUCUGAAGGAUCCUAAGACUAAGAUUUAUCCCUCAAGUACGAGGGGAGGUAAGAAACUGCCAUCCAGUUCUGCUUUAGAUUCGCCUUAUGUUAUGAUUAAACUUGCAACACCACCACAUGCUAUUAAUUCUGAUAUGUCGCAAGUUAUUGAUGAUGCUACUUCUACUAUGAAUGAUGCUUAUGAUGAUGCUAGUACCUUGCUUGAUAAUGAUGAUGUGCCACUUGGUGAUUUUCUUGAUGAACGAAUUGCUAGAGUUAUACAACAUGAUGUCGUUGAAUCUAAUGAUGAGCUUGAAACUGAAACUCUUGAAACACCUGCUAGAACUAGCCUUCCUAGAUAUGAAUUGCCUAAGGUACCGGGAGGUUAUGUUAUGAGU